Molecule: ribosomal RNA, 492 nt
Filed under: uncultured bacterium
Lineage: Bacteria
Description: partial 16S ribosomal RNA
Rfam family: Bacterial small subunit ribosomal RNA
Source: RNAcentral
AGUGAACGCUGGCGGUAGGCCUAACACAUGCAAGUCGAACGGCAGCACAGUAAGCGCUUGCUCUUACGGGUGGCGAGUGGCGGACGGGUGAGGCAUACAUCGGAAUCUACUUUUUCGUGGGGGAUAACGUAGGGAAACUUACGCUAAUACCGCAUACGACCUACGGGUGAAAGCAGGGGAUCUUCGGACCUUGCGCGAUUGAAUGAGCCGAUGUCGGAUUAGCUAGUUGGCGGGGUAAAGGCCCACCAAGGCGACGAUCCGUAGCUGGUCUGAGAGGAUGAUCAGCCACACUGGAACUGAGACACGGUCCAGACUCCUACGGGAGGCAGCAGUGGGGAAUAUUGGACAAUGGGCGCAAGCCUGAUCCAGCCAUGCCGCGUGAGUGAAGAAGGCCUUCGGGUUGUAAAGCCCUUUUGUUAGGAAAGAAAAGCAGCAGGUUAAUACCCCGCUGUUCUGACGGUACCCAAAGAAUAAGCACCGGCUAACUUCGUG